AGCAGCCGCGGUAAUUCCAGCUCCAAUAGCGUAUAGAAAAGUUGUUGCAGUUAAAAAGCUCGUAGUUGAACUUGGUCCUGGCAGACUGGUCCGCCUCACGGUGUGCACUGGCUCGGCCGGGUCAUCCUUCUGGGGGAGCGGCAUGCCCUUUACUGGGUGCGUCGUUGAACCAGGACGUUUACUUUGAAAAAAUUAGAGUGUUCAAAGCAGGCUUCUGCUCGAAUACAUUAGCAUGGAAUAAUAGAAUAGGACGUGUGGUUCUAUUUUGUUGGUUUCUAGGACCGCCGUAAUGAUUAAUAGGGACAGUUGGGGGCAUUAGUAUUCAAUUGUCAGAGGUGAAAUUCUUGGAUUUAUUGAAGACUAACUAGUGCGAAAGCAUUUGCCAAGGAUGUUUUCAUUAAUCAAGAACGAAAGUUAGGGGAUCGAAGACGAUCAGAUACCGUCGUAGCCUUAACCAUAAACUAUGCCGACUAGGGAUCGGACGAUGUUAAUUUGAUGACUCGCUCGGCACCUUAUGAGAAAUCAAAGUUUUUGGGUUCUGGGGGGAGUAUGGUCGCAAGGCUGAAACUUAAAGGGAUUGACGGAAGGGCACCACCAGGUGUGGAGCCUGCGGCUUAAUUUGACUCAACACGGGGAAACUCACCAGGUCCAGACACAUGAAGGAUUGACAGAUUGAGAGCUCUUUCUUGAUUAUGUGGGUGGUGGUGCAUGGCCGUUCNNAGUUGGUGGAGUGAUUUGUCUGCUUAAUUGCGAUAACGAACGA
RNAcentral lists this ribosomal RNA (763 nucleotides) under uncultured eukaryote. Its description in RNAcentral is "SSU rRNA". It matches the Rfam family "Eukaryotic small subunit ribosomal RNA", at positions 569 to 1338 of the family's 1831-position model. The record is from RNAcentral.